RNAcentral lists this ribosomal RNA (482 nucleotides) under Lepanus bidentatus. RNAcentral's name for it is "partial 16S ribosomal RNA". It matches the Rfam family "Bacterial large subunit ribosomal RNA", at positions 1843 to 2577 of the family's 2925-position model. Lineage: Eukaryota; Metazoa; Arthropoda; Insecta; Coleoptera; Scarabaeidae. The record is from RNAcentral.
UAAUUUAAAGUUUGACCUGCCCUAUGAAUAUUUAAAUGGCCGCGGUAUUUUGACCGUGCAAAGGUAGCAUAAUCAUUAGUUUCUUAAUUAGGAACUGGUAUGAAUGGUUGGACAAGAAAAGUACUGUCUCAGUUUAAUUUUUAUUAGAAUUUUAUAUUUAAGUUAAAAAGCUUAAAUAAAUUUAAAAGACGAGAAGACCCUAUAGAGUUUUAUAUUUUAUUAUUUAUUUAAAAAUUUAAGUAUUUAUAGAUUUAAUUAGGUAAUAAAAAUAUUUGAUUGGGGCGAUUGAAAAAUUUAUAGAACUUUUUUUAAAUUUUUACAUUAAUUUAUGAUUAAAUGAUCCAUUUUUUAUGAUUAUAAGAUUAAAUUACCUUAGGGAUAACAGCGUAAUUUUUUUUUAGAGUUCUUAUCGAAAAAAAAGAUUGCGACCUCGAUGUUGGAUUAAAAUUAAUUCUUGGUGUAGAAGCUAGGGGGAUUGGGUC